GACGAACGCUGGCGGCGUGCUUAACACAUGCAAGUCGAACGGUGAAGCGCUUGCCUUUUUGGUGGGUGUGGAUGAGUGGCGAACGGGUGAGUAACACGUGAGUAACCUGCCCUCUUCUUCUGGAUAACCUCAUGAAAGUGGGGCUAAUACGGGGUAUUCCGGGUCUGUCGCAUGGCGGGUUUGGGAAAGAUUGCGCCUUUGGGUGUUUUCGGUGGGGGAUGGGCUCGCGGCCUAUCAGCUUGUUGGUGGGGUGGUGGCCUACCAAGGCGGUGACGGGUAGCCGGCCUGAGAGGGUGGACGGCCACACUGGGACUGAGACACGGCCCAGACUCCUGCGGGAGGCAGCAGUGGGGAAUAUUGCACAAUGGGCGCAAGCCUGAUGCAGCGACGCCGCGUGAGGGAUGGAGGCCUUCGGGUUGUGAACCUCUUUCGCCAGUGAAGCAGGCCUGCUCCUGUGUGGGUGGGUUGACGGUAGCUGGAUAAGAAGCGCCGGCUAACUACGUG
Molecule: ribosomal RNA, 504 nt
Filed under: uncultured bacterium
Lineage: Bacteria
Description: partial 16S ribosomal RNA
Rfam family: Bacterial small subunit ribosomal RNA
Source: RNAcentral